Molecule: ribosomal RNA, 772 nt
Filed under: Streptomyces sp. HVG19
Lineage: Bacteria; Bacillati; Actinomycetota; Actinomycetes; Kitasatosporales; Streptomycetaceae
Description: bacterial SSU rRNA
Rfam family: Bacterial small subunit ribosomal RNA
Source: RNAcentral
UGCUUACACAUGCAAGUCGAACGAUGAACCGCUUUCGGGCGGGGAUUAGUGGCGAACGGGUGAGUAACACGUGGGCAAUCUGCCCUGCACUCUGGGACAAGCCCUGGAAACGGGGUCUAAUACCGGAUAUGACCGUCUGCCGCAUGGUGGAUGGUGUAAAGCUCCGGCGGUGCAGGAUGAGCCCGCGGCCUAUCAGCUUGUUGGUGAGGUAGUGGCUCACCAAGGCGACGACGGGUAGCCGGCCUGAGAGGGCGACCGGCCACACUGGGACUGAGACACGGCCCAGACUCCUACGGGAGGCAGCAGUGGGGAAUAUUGCACAAUGGGCGAAAGCCUGAUGCAGCGACGCCGCGUGAGGGAUGACGGCCUUCGGGUUGUAAACCUCUUUCAGCAGGGAAGAAGCGAAAGUGACGGUACCUGCAGAAGAAGCGCCGGCUAACUACGUGCCAGCAGCCGCGGUAAUACGUAGGGCGCAAGCGUUGUCCGGAAUUAUUGGGCGUAAAGAGCUCGUAGGCGGCUUGUCACGUCGGUUGUGAAAGCCCGGGGCUUAACCCCGGGUCUGCAGUCGAUACGGGCAGGCUAGAGUUCGGUAGGGGAGAUCGGAAUUCCUGGUGUAGCGGUGAAAUGCGCAGAUAUCAGGAGGAACACCGGUGGCGAAGGCGGAUCUCUGGGCCGAUACUGACGCUGAGGAGCGAAAGCGUGGGGAGCGAACAGGAUUAGAUACCCUGGUAGUCCACGCCGUAAACGGUGGGCACUAGGUGUGGGCAACAUU